CACGUAAGGUGCGAGCGUUGUUCGGAAUCAUUGGGCGUAAAGGGCAUGUAGGCGGCAUGGUAAGUCGGGCGUGAAAUGACGGGGCCCAACCCCGUCGCUGCGCCCGAUACUGCCGUGCUUGAGUCAGCGAGGCGGAGGCGGAAUUCCUGGUGUAGGGGUGAAAUCUGUAGAUAUCAGGAAGAACACCGGUGGCGAAGGCAGCCUUCGAGCGCAUGACUGACGCUGAGGUGCGAAGGUGCGGGGAGCGAAC
This 250-nucleotide ribosomal RNA is filed under the name uncultured prokaryote. RNAcentral describes it as "partial 16S ribosomal RNA". It matches the Rfam family "Bacterial small subunit ribosomal RNA", at positions 524 to 773 of the family's 1533-position model. The record is from RNAcentral.